RNAcentral lists this ribosomal RNA (253 nucleotides) under uncultured bacterium. RNAcentral describes it as "partial 16S ribosomal RNA". It matches the Rfam family "Bacterial small subunit ribosomal RNA", at positions 524 to 776 of the family's 1533-position model. The record is from RNAcentral.
UACAGAGGGGGCAAGCGUUGUUCGGAAUUACUGGGCGUAAAGGGCGCGUAGGCGGCCUUCUAAGUCGAACGUGAAAUCCCCGGGCUCAACCCGGGAACUGCGUCCGAUACUGGAAGGCUUGAAUCCGGGAGAGGGAUGCGGAAUUCCAGGUGUAGCGGUGAAAUGCGUAGAUAUCUGGAGGAACACCGGUGGCGAAGGCGGCAUCCUGGACCGGCAUUGACGCUGAGGCGCGAAAGCCAGGGGAGCAGACGGG